RNAcentral lists this ribosomal RNA (253 nucleotides) under uncultured bacterium. Its description in RNAcentral is "partial 16S ribosomal RNA". It matches the Rfam family "Bacterial small subunit ribosomal RNA", at positions 524 to 776 of the family's 1533-position model. The record is from RNAcentral.
UACGUAGGGGGCUAGCGUUGUCCGGAAUCAUUGGGCGUAAAGCGCGCGUAGGCGGCCCGGUAAGUCCGCUGUGAAAGUCCAGGGCUCAACCCUGGAAAGCCGGUGGAUACUGCCGGGCUAGAGUCCGGAAGAGGCGAGUGGAAUUCCCAGUGUAGCGGUGAAAUGCGUAGAUAUUGGGAGGAACACCGGUGGCGAAGGCGGCCCUCUGGACCGGUACUGACGCUGAUGCGCGAAAGCGUGGGGAGCAAACGGG